This 521-nucleotide ribosomal RNA is filed under the name Corallococcus sp. RNAcentral describes it as "bacterial SSU rRNA". It matches the Rfam family "Bacterial small subunit ribosomal RNA", at positions 121 to 620 of the family's 1533-position model. Lineage: Bacteria; Pseudomonadati; Myxococcota; Myxococcia; Myxococcales; Myxococcaceae. The record is from RNAcentral.
AUAAUCUGCCUGGAUGCCUGGGAUAACCAGUCGAAAGAUUGGCUAAUACCGGAUAAGCCCACGGUUUCUUCGGAGACUGAGGGAAAAGGUGGCCUCUGUAAACAAGCUAUCACAACCAGAUGAGUCCGCGGCCCAUCAGCUAGUUGGCGGGGUAAUGGCCCACCAAGGCGACGACGGGUAGCUGGUCUGAGAGGACGAUCAGCCACACUGGAACUGAGACACGGUCCAGACUCCUACGGGAGGCAGCAGUGGGGAAUUUUGCGCAAUGGGCGAAAGCCUGACGCAGCAACGCCGCGUGUGUGAUGAAGGUCUUUGGAUUGUAAAGCACUUUCGACCGGGACGAAACCGUAAAGCCUAAUACGCUUUGCCUUGACGGUACCGGGAGAAGAAGCACCGGCUAACUCUGUGCCAGCAGCCGCGGUAAUACAGAGGGUGCAAGCGUUGUUCGGAAUUAUUGGGCGUAAAGCGCGUGUAGGCGGCUUUGCAAGUCGGGUGUGAAAGCCCUCAGCUCAACUGAGGAA